CAUAUUCUUGGACUUUUUGGAAAGGUGAGAACAAGAUAUUCAACUUUCAUGUUGGACAAAAUUUCAUUUGAAGCUUGUAUGAUGAUGUAAAUUUGAGGAGAAGACCUUUCCAUUUUGGGCAGUUUGAAAUUACAGGUCACUUACUAUUUUUGGAAACUUUCCAUCUGACCUCAAAUUCUUCAAUCUUGAUCUUUGAAAUGUCAAAUGAGACUUGUAUGGACAUGAAU
Molecule: long non-coding RNA, 227 nt
Filed under: Lathyrus oleraceus (garden pea)
Lineage: Eukaryota; Viridiplantae; Streptophyta; Magnoliopsida; Fabales; Fabaceae
Description: Pisum sativum (pea) long non-coding RNA (PSAT_LNC038723)
Source: RNAcentral